RNAcentral lists this ribosomal RNA (2935 nucleotides) under Spirochaetota bacterium. Its description in RNAcentral is "Spirochaetes bacterium (groundwater metagenome) 23S ribosomal RNA". It matches the Rfam family "Bacterial large subunit ribosomal RNA". Lineage: Bacteria; Pseudomonadati; Spirochaetota. The record is from RNAcentral.
AUAUGGUCAAGUAACUAAGGGCCAAAGGCGGAUGCCUAGGCACUGGUAGGCGAUGAAGGUCGUGGCUAGCUGCGAUAAGCCUCGGGGAGGAGCAAACAUCCCUUGAUCCGAGGAUCACCGAAUGGGAAAACCCAGCAGGGCAACCCCCUGUUAUUGCAUACUGAAUUCAUAGGUAUGCAAUGCUACACGCGGAGAAUUGAAACAUCUUAGUAUCCGCAGGAAAAUAAAUCAAACGAGAUUCCCUAAGUAGCGGCGAGCGAACGGGGAAGAGCCUAAACCAUGGUUGUUUACUCAGCCGUGGGGUUGUAGGACAGCGAUGUCUUUGUGUACACAAUAGUGGAACGGUAUUGGAAAAGCCGGCCAUAGCGGGUGAUAGCCCCGUACGCGAAAUUGUUGUACAUGAGGUAGCUGUAUCCUGAGUAACGCGAGACACGUGAAAUCUUGCGUGAAUCCGGGGAGACCACUCUCCAAGGCUAAAUACUCACCAGUGACCGAUAGUGAACAGUACCGCGAGGGAAUGGUGAAAAGAACCCCGUCGAGGGUAAUGAAAUAGAAUCUGAAACCUUUGGCCUACAAGCAGUCAGAGGGGCUUUGUGCCCUAAUGGCCUACCUUUUGUAGAAUGGCCCUGCGAGUUAUAGUACGUAGCAAGGUUAAACCGUAUUAGCGGUGAAGCCGUAGUGAAAGCGAGCCUUAAUAGGGCGAUUAGUUGCGUAUUAUAGACCCGAAGCCGAGUGAUCUACAUAUGACCAGGAUGAAGCUCGGGUAACACCGAGUGGAGGUCCGAACCGGUACAGGUUGAAAACUGUUCGGAUGAGUUGUGUGUAGGGGUGAAAGGCUAAUCAAACCCGGCUAUAGCUGGCUCUCUUCGAAAUGUUUUUAGGAACAGCCUUGCAUGUUAAGUUACGGGGGUAGAGCACUAAAUGGACUAGGGUCUUUAACCAGAUACCAAACCCAAAUAAACUCCGAAUACCGUAACUCCAGAAUGCAGGAGUGAGCCCGUGGGGGAUAAGCUUCACGGACGAGAGGGGAAGAACCCAGAUCAUCAGAUAAGGUCCCAAAAUUUAUGCUAAGUGGUAAAGGAUGUUAAAUCGCGAAAACAGCCAGGAGGUUGGCUUAGAAGCAGCCACCCUUUAAAGAGUGCGUAACAGCUCACUGGUCGAGCGUUUUUGCGCCGAAAAUGUAACGGGGCUCAAGCAUAAUACCGAAUCGAUGGGCUCGAAAGAGCGGUAGAAGAGCGUUCCCUACGCCGUCGAAGGCAAAGCCGUAAGGCAUGCUGGAGGCAUGGGAAGUGAGAAUGCAGGGACGAGUAACGAUAAAACGGAUGAGAAAUCCGUUCGCCGUAAGCCUAAGGUUUCCUGGGUUAAGUUAAUCUGCCCAGGGUUAGUCGGCUCCUAAGGCGAGGCCGAAAGGCGUAGUCGAUGGGAAACAGGUCAAUAUUCCUGUACCAUGGUCAGUUUCGAUGGGAUGACGCAGUAGGUUUUCGUACGCGGGGUUUCGGUUGUCCCCGUCAAAACGUCAAGCUGUGGGAUGAGUCAAAUGCUUGUUCCUUUAACAGCAAGGCGUGAUAGUGAGCGCGGUUUAGGCUGCGCGAAGUUACACGAAUCACACUGCCAAGAAACAAUCCCUAAGGUUAGGCUGAUUGUGACCGUACCGUAAUCCGACGCAGGUAGGCGAGAUGAAUAUUCUAAGGCGCUCGAGUCAACUAUCCCUAAGGAACUUUACAGAAUAGUCCCGUAACUUCGGAAGAAGGGAUGCCCAACGUUCGGUAGCAAUAUCGGACUGCGGGCCGCAGUGAAUGGGUCUGGCCGACUGUUUAUCAAAAACACAGGUCUCUGCGAACUCGUAAGAGAACGUAUAGGGACUGAUGCUUGCCCAGUGCUGGAAGGUUAAAGGGAGGAGUUAGCAGCAAUGCGAAGCCCCGAACCGAAGCCCCAGUAAACGGCGGCCGUAACUAUGACGGUCCUAAGGUAGCGAAAUUCCUUGUCGGGUAAGUUCCGACCUGCACGAAUAGUAUAACGAUCCGGACAUUGUCUCGGGGAUAGUCUCGGUGAAACUGAAUUAUUGGUGAAGAUGCCAAUUACUUGUGAUAGGACAGAAAGACCCCAUGAACCUUUACUAUACCUUAGCAUUGUACUUUUCUCUGAGAUGUGUAGCAUAGGUGGGAGACUAUGAAGCGGCGGUGCUAGCCGUCGCGGAGUCGCCAAUGAAAUACCACCCUUCUUAGAGCGAGGUUCUAACAUGUUCCCGUAAGCCGGGGCGUGGACACUGCUAGGCGGGUAGUUUGACUGGGGCGGUCGCCUCCCAAAAAGUAACGGAGGCGCACAAAGGUCACCUCGAACCGAAUAGAAAUCGGUCGAAAGAGCGCAAAGGCAUAUGGUGGCUUGACUGCAAGACCGACAGGUCGAGCAGGUGCGAAAGCAGGUCUUAGUGAUCCGGUGGUCCCAUGUGGACGGGCCAUCGCUCAACGGAUAAAAGGUACUCUGGGGAUAACAGGCUGAUCUCCCCCAAGAGUUCAUAUCGACGGGGAGGUUUGGCACCUCGAUGUCGGCUCAUCGCAUCCUGGGGCUGGAGCAGGUCCCAAGGGUUUGGCUGUUCGCCAAUUAAAGCGGUACGUGAGCUGGGUUCAAAACGUCGUGAGACAGUUUGGUCCUUAUCCAUCACAAGCGCUGGGGAAUUGCGAGGCGUUGCUCUUAGUACGAGAGGACCGGAGUGAACGCACCUCUAGUGCACCAGUUGUUCCACCAGGGGCAGUGCUGGGUAGCUAUGUGCGGACGAGAUAACCGCUGAAAGCAUCUAAGUGGGAAACUCACCUCAAGAUUAGUUCCCCCCAUCAGGCACGUUGGAGACUACGACGUUGAUAGGAUGCAGGUAUAAGCACAGCAAUGUGUUCAGCCGAGCAUUACUAAUCCGCCGAUUGACUUGACCAUAUUAUCA